UUCAUCUCUUAUGUACUUUUCUUCAUUGUCUUCUUCCUUUCUUCUUCUACCCCUUGUGUGGUUUCAUGGAUCACAAUAUUAGCAUGGGGUUUCUUCAGCUUAACAUUCCCCCUCAAGUUAGAGGGUAACCGGGUGACCCCUAACUUGCUCAAUAGCUGAGAAUGAGAAACCCCUGAGAGGGGCUUAGUGAACAAAUCUACCAGCUGAUCGUGAGAAGGAACAAAAGAACGACUCAUUAGCCUAGAGAGGAACUGUUGACGAGCAAAAUGAUAGUCGAUUUAGGCGUGUUUUGUCUGUUCAUGAAAAACUGGAUUACAAGCAAUGUGAAUGGCUGCCUUGCUAUCAGAGUGAAGUGGAAUAGGAAGGGCUACUGGGUAGGAGAGAUCUUUAAGAAGUCGAACAAGACAAGUAAGUUCUGCUGUAACUCGUCUCAUAGAUCUAUAUUCCGCCUCUGCUGAUGAUAAAGAAACUGAGACCUGUUUCUUUUAUUUCCAGGAAAUGGGAGCUCCUCCAAGUGUAAUGAAAUAGCCACUCACAGACCUUCUAUAUUCUUUGCAAGAAGCCAGUCUGCAUCGCAAAAUGCAAGUAGAGAGAAGGAUGGGCUUACUGAAAGAAGGAUACCCUAACCAGGAUCGGUACUUAAAUACUUCAAGACUCGCAAUGCAACUCUGAAAUGUGAAACACAAGGCUUCUGCAUGUACUGACUGAGAGAAAGAACAACAAAGGAGAGGUCUGGUCGAGUAUUGGUCAAAUAGUUCAGUUUGCCAACCAAAUGACGAAAAAUUAUGGGAUUUGCCAGAGGUCUACCAUCAUCACCAACAAGCUUGUGUGAGGGAUCCAGGGGUGAGCUGACUGACUUCUAAUGAGAAACAUCAAAUUCCUGAAUCAUAUCUAAGGUAAACUUCCUUUGAUUCACAAUAAAGCCUUCCUUUUCUCGCAAAAUUUCCAUUCCUAGAAAAUAUUUUAUAUCUCCUAGAUUUUUUAUCUUGAAUUCAGUAUUGAGAAACACUUCGAUGUGCUGAAUUUCUUGUAGAUCAUUCCCUGUAAGUAGAAUUUCAUCUACAUACACAGCUAGGAUAGAAAUUAGUUCACCAGUUCGUUUAAAAAAUAAAGAAUAAUCAUUUAGAGAAGAUGAAUAUCCAUUAAAGCUUAAAGCUCCAACAAGUCUAGCAUACCAUUGCCUAGAAGCUUGCUUCAAACCAUAUAGAGACUUUCUGAGUAGACAAACAUGUUUAGUACUAGGAGGUGUGACACCGAGGGAAACUCCAUGUAUACUUCUUCCUGAAGGUAAUUGAGAGACAUUCCAAUCUCUCUUGGCUGAUAUAGUGAGCAGACAUCUGAAGUUGUCAUUUUCACAACUGGAGAAAAAGUUUCACUAUAGUCUAUCCCUUCUCUUUGAAUAUCCCCCCUCACAACUAGCCUAGCAUUUAGUAUUUCCACCCUUCCAUCAAAUAGAUGCUUCACCUUGUAUACCAAUUUACAAGGUAAAGCUCUUUUUCCUUUAGGUAAUUCAACCACAUCCCAUGUCUUGUUGUCUUAUAGUGCUUUGAUUUCCAAAUCCAUUUCUUCUACCCAACCUGGGUAUUGACAAGCUUGAGAAAAAGUAGUAGGCUCAGUGAUGGUAGAAAGAGAGUGAAGGAUGUGUUGGUUGUUAGGUGAAAGAGAAGAAAAACAGUAUUGCCUUGGGUUGCAUGGUUGAUGGAAGCAAAUAGCUUCCACAUCUGUGAACAUGAUGUUAUUGUACACAUAGUCCUUCAAAUAAACUGGUUGUUUGGAUACCCUUGAUAAUUUCUUACUGGUGUGUGUUGUUGAGGACCUAGAAUAGGUGAGGAGUGCUAUUGAGUAUCCAAAGGAGCUUGAAGAGGAGUUGGAGUAAGUAGUUGUUGUGAGGGAGACUGUGGAAAGUGGUUAUGUGGAGAUGAGAUUGAGGGACUACUGCUAGAGUGUUCAGGUUCAAAGAAAAUGGGUGAGAUUGGAUCUUCUGUUAGGUGUGAAAUGUGGAGGUGACAGUGGAUCUUCUGGUGGGUGUGAAAGUGUAAGUUUAGUGGUAAGUGUUGGGUUGGAAAGAAUAGGUUGAGGUGUAGAGAUGUUCUCAGCAAAAGGGAAAUAUGAUUCAUGAAAAUUCACAUCACUUGACACAAAGAUUCUACCAGUUUUCAAAUCCAAUAGCUUAUACCCUUUCUUAUGAACAGGAUGUCCAAGUAGUACACAAGCUGUUGCCCUCUCAUCAAAUUUGCUUCUUCCUUAUGCUAGAGCUGAACCAUAACAAAAACACCCAAAAUUCCUAAGAUAAUCAUACUUAAUUUUUCUCUGAAACAAAAGUUCAUAUGGUGUUUUUUCAUUGAGUACACUAGAAGGCAUUCUAUUAAUGAGAUGUGUGACAGUUAGAAUGGAUUCGCCCCAAUAUCUCAUAGGCAAUUUAGACUAAAACAUCAAUGCCCUUCCAGUUUCCACAAGGUGUCUAUGGUUCCUCUCAACAAUCCCAUUUUGUUGAGGAGUUGCUGCACAAGACAACUGAUGUAUAAUCCCUUGAGAAGAAAGAUAUGUUGCCUCUUGAGUUCCUUUUCCCAAUUCUAAAGCAUUGUCAGAUCUUAUGGUCUUCACCCUUAAAUUGAAUUGCCUCUCAACCAUAGACAGAAAAUCCUUGAGCAUAGAAAAAGCAUUACUUUUUGUACUUAACAAGAAUGCCCAUGUCCCUCUACUAUAGUCAUUUACUACGGUUGGAAAAAUACUUGUAUCCAUUGUAGGUGUUUGAAAAGAAUUUCUAGUCUGUUUAGCCCUAGGACAAACAUCACAAAUAAAAUCAGAAUCUGACUUACAAUGAAGAAAAUGUAAAUGUUUCAUUGCUGAAAAUGGGAGGUUUCCCAACCUUACAUGCCAAAGCUUAAAAUCACUAAACACAUUAGCUUGAAUUGAACUAGGAAAGGAAACCGACUUUGAAAUGGAAUUGCAUCCUUUUGGAAUUGAAAAUACAUCAUUACUAAAGAAAACCUUAGACUUGACACUACUUGGUUCCAGUAGAUAGAGUCCUUCUCUAACUUCACCGAUAGCUUGAGGACUCAUCAUUGAAAGUCCCUGCAACACACACUCAACAGAUGUGAACAAUACAUUAUAUUUGAAUUGAAUACAGAAUCUAUUAACUGACAACAGAUUGUACUUGAACUCUGGAACAUGUAAAACAUUGUCCAGAGUAUGACCAGGCAGUAUCGUGAUGCUUUCUAUGUGAGUGACAGUUACCUUGAAUGAAUUAGGUAAACUUAUGUUUAAAGGAACAGGAAGAGGAGUUAAAAACAAGAAAGAAUUUGGGUCAAAACACAUGUGCUUUGAGGUACCUGAAUCAAGGAUCCAAGUAUCUGAUUUUAAAGUUGUGAAAACUGAACUUGAAUAUUUUAAAAUUGUACCAGCAACUGCAUUAGCAUUGAUUGAAUUGUUCCCUCCUUGUGUUAGCUUUGCUUGCUUGUACAUCUGCAUCAUCUCAGCUAUUUGUUCCUUGCUCAGCUGCUGUCCAAAAUUAUUGUUCUGCUCAUUACUCUGCCCUGCUGACACUCUAUGUUCAUCAUGUGUUAGAACUGCAUACCCUUUGAUUUGAUUUUGGAUGUGGCACCUCUUAUGGUUUGUAAACUCAAAGUCUUCUGGGAAACCAAUGAUCCUGUAGCAAUUUUCUUGAGAGUGAUCUGUCUUUCCACAGUAGGAACAUGUCAGAUUUGGGUUGUAUUUCUUCCUCUCUUUGGAUUUCUGCUGGGGCUUGGGGAAUCUCUGUGGAGUAUUGUUGAAUUUAGACCCUAUGCCUCAUCCUCUUUGUGACUGAUUCCUUCUCCUUUGAAAAUUCUUUCCUGGUCCAGUGCUCAUGAAAGCGGCAAAGUCAGCCAGUAGUUGUACAUUAGAUUGUUUAUCUUCUCUUGUUGCCAUGAAUGAUGCUGACAGUUGUACAUUCUUUCCUGGAGGUUGACAGUCUCCAUUGAUGAAACCGAGUUUCUUCUUGGCUGAAAGAGAUAGGAGAAUAGAUAUUCUCCAACCAGGAUAACCUUUUCCUUCAAAAACAGAGUAGACAAGUGUCAUUCCUGGGGAAUCAGAAUUAUUAAGGUGGUAGGGAUGAUUAGCGUCAUAGGUUACAACUUUUGUAACACUGCUUGCCUCAGUUGUAACAACUGCAGGUGUUUAUACCAUUUUAGGUUAUUGAUCUAAGGAUGAAAUUGUGAUGUAAAAGGUGAUGAACUUAUGGAUCGAGCUCAAUGCUCUGAUACCGUAAAGGAAUUUGAGA
RNAcentral lists this long non-coding RNA (4261 nucleotides) under Nicotiana benthamiana. Its description in RNAcentral is "long non-coding RNA (NBEN_LNC020998)". The record is from RNAcentral. Lineage: Eukaryota; Viridiplantae; Streptophyta; Magnoliopsida; Solanales; Solanaceae.